RNAcentral lists this ribosomal RNA (522 nucleotides) under Citrobacter freundii. Its description in RNAcentral is "bacterial SSU rRNA". It matches the Rfam family "Bacterial small subunit ribosomal RNA", at positions 307 to 821 of the family's 1533-position model. The record is from RNAcentral. Lineage: Bacteria; Pseudomonadati; Pseudomonadota; Gammaproteobacteria; Enterobacterales; Enterobacteriaceae.
GCCACACUGGGACUGAGACACGGCCCAGACUCCUACGGGAGGUAGCAGUAGGGAAUCUUCCGCAAUGGACGAAAGUCUGACGGAGCAACGCCGCGUGUAUGAAGAAUGUUUUCGGAUCGUAAAGUACUGUUGUUAGAGAAGAACAAGGAUAAGAGUAACUGCUUGUCCCUUGACGGUAUCUAACCAGAAAGCCACGGCUAACUACGUGCCAGCAGCCGCGGUAAUACGUAGGUGGCAAGCGUUGUCCGGAUUUAUUGGGCGUAAAGCGCGCGCAGGCGGUCUUUUAAGUCUGAUGUGAAAGCCCCCGGCUUAACCGGGGAGGGUCAUUGGAAACUGGAAGACUGGAGUGCAGAAGAGGAGAGUGGAAUUCCACGUGUAGCGGUGAAAUGCGUAGAUAUGUGGAGGAACACCAGUGGCGAAGGCGACUCUCUGGUCUGUAACUGACGCUGAGGCGCGAAAGCGUGGGGAGUAAACAGGAUUAGAUACCCUGGUAGUCCACGCCGUAAACGAUGAGUGCUAAGU